ACAACUGUACUUUCAGGGAUCAUUUCUAUAGUUCUUGACUAGAGAAGUUUCUCUGAAUGUGUAGAGCACCUGAAACCACGAGGAGGAGACACAAUGUUCUCUCCUGAGCAUGAAGCUGGUUUUUGGUGGUGUUUCUGCAACUGCCAAUAGCCAUUGAUGACCGUUCUUCUUGUCCUUUGGAAGAGUGAGAGGGAGAGAACACAGUCUGAGUGGA
This is a small nucleolar RNA of Phyllostomus discolor (pale spear-nosed bat), 214 nucleotides long. RefSeq annotates it as small nucleolar RNA U3. NCBI's taxonomy places the organism in Eukaryota, Metazoa, Chordata, Mammalia, Chiroptera, Phyllostomidae. The record is from RefSeq and is a predicted model, not a curated record. The transcript has a single exon.